Molecule: ribosomal RNA, 263 nt
Filed under: uncultured prokaryote
Description: partial 16S ribosomal RNA
Rfam family: Bacterial small subunit ribosomal RNA
Source: RNAcentral
CGUAGGGGGCGAGCGUUGUACGGAAUGAUUGGGCGUAAAGGGCGCGCAGGCGGCCUGUCAAGUCAGUAGUGGAAGUCCAUUUUUCAAGGAUGGAAGUGCUAUAGAAACUGAUGGGCUUGAGUGCAGGAGAGGUUAUCGGAAUUCCCGGUGUAGCGGUGAAAUGCGUAGAGAUCGGGAGGAACACCAGUGGCGAAGGCGGGUAACUGGACUGCAACUGACGCUGAGGCGCGAAAGUGUGGGGAGCAAACAGGAUUAGAUACCCU